This 252-nucleotide long non-coding RNA is filed under the name Elaeis guineensis (African oil palm). Its description in RNAcentral is "long non-coding RNA (EGUI_LNC039582)". Lineage: Eukaryota; Viridiplantae; Streptophyta; Magnoliopsida; Arecales; Arecaceae. The record is from RNAcentral.
CUUAUCUCCUUGUCAUUAAUUCAGAUCGCAUUCAAAUUAAGAAGGAGAUAAGAACUGUAACUCAUCAUGAUUGCUGCCCACCCUAUCUAUGUCCUCUCUUCUCACAUCCAAAAAUCUCACACAAAAACCUUUUUGGCAUUGAGAAGAAUGGCGUGGGUCCAAGGUGUGUGCAAGAGAGAGAGAGUCCCUGCUAGCUGGGACUCUUCAUUUUCAAUUUGAUUUCAAAUUAAAUCAAAUCUGAUUUGAACCCAA